Molecule: non-coding RNA, 404 nt
Organism: Schizosaccharomyces pombe (fission yeast)
Lineage: Eukaryota; Fungi; Ascomycota; Schizosaccharomycetes; Schizosaccharomycetales; Schizosaccharomycetaceae
Source: the annotation of a GenBank genome assembly
AACACCCUCAUACUUAUCAGCAAGGCCAACCUUAGCAAGAGCACGACGAGCGACCAAAAGACCGGUAGCGUAGGCGGCAGUCCAGUUGGCCAAACCCCAUUUGAUACCGUAACGAGGAAGCUCAGAAGAGUGAGCGUGAGCAAGAACAUAGUCACCGUUUACUCUGGAAGAAACUAUUUGGCAUGUGACGAAACGAUUGGAGAAACGAACGACCAAACGGUACUUGGGAGCAUUGUAUUUGUUCUUGGCCUGGGCAAUCAAACGCUUACGAGCGUAAUAAUCGGUUUUACCCUCACGACGACGACGAUAUUUCGUCUGAUAACGUGAAAAGUAAGGGCUGCUCUUGACUGCUUUGAUAAAGGGCAUGUCGGUAAACGGACAAAAGUAUGAUAUUAUUCCUAAGU